CCUGAGAAUCUGCAGUUUACAUUGUGAACUCUUCAGUCCAGCAGAGAGCAGCUCCACUCCUGAAUCCUGCAGGUCAUUGUUACUGAGGUCCAGCUCUUUCAGGGAGGAGUUUUCCAGGUUUAAAACUGAUUCCAGAUUUUCACACGUCUUUACUCCAAGAUUACAUGAAGCUAGUC
Astyanax mexicanus (Mexican tetra) is the source of this 176-nucleotide long non-coding RNA. RefSeq lists it as uncharacterized. The record is from RefSeq and is a predicted model, not a curated record. NCBI's taxonomy places the organism in Eukaryota, Metazoa, Chordata, Actinopteri, Characiformes, Acestrorhamphidae. The transcript has 2 exons.